Molecule: long non-coding RNA, 4169 nt
Filed under: Capsicum annuum
Lineage: Eukaryota; Viridiplantae; Streptophyta; Magnoliopsida; Solanales; Solanaceae
Description: long non-coding RNA (CANN_LNC018217)
Source: RNAcentral
CUCUCUCUCUCUCUCUCUCUCUCUCUCUCUCUCUCUCUCUCUCUCUAUUUCUUUGUUCUUCUGAGAUUGUAUCCUCGAGUUGACUCCUGGACAAUCAACUCGAUCCUCGAAUCCUUGUGAUUCCUGCAAUCGAGUAACAUUGGUAUCAAAACUUGACUAUCCUUGGCAUCGAGUAACGAAAACCCUAAUGCAGAAAUUGGGGAUUUGCGUAAAAUGAUACAAAAUCUGAUAACAGAGGUGGGACAUCUAGCUGGGAAGGUCUCAUCCUUGGAGAAGUUAGAUCACACAGUGAUGGAAUUAAGGAAGCAACUAGCUGGUGAUAAUCAAAGAAACACUGUUCCAUUGAGAAAUGAAGGAGAUUCUGAUCAAGGUGAGAGGGUCGAAUUGCAUAGGGAAAAGAGAAGGGAGUCCUGGCAAUUUCAGUAACUCUCAAUUUCAUAAUAGUCCUAAAUUCCAUCAUUCAAGAUUCAAUCGAUGGUCAAGAAUAGAAUUCUUGAAAUUCAAUGGUGAUGAUUUGAGAUCCUGGUUGUUUAAGAUUGAACGGUUCUUUUCUAUGAAAAAUGUAGCAGCUGAAGAAAAAGUGACAAUUGCUUCUAAGCAGUUGGAAAGGAAAACCAUCCAAUGACAUGUAUCUUUUAUGAGAUAUAAACAGUAUUUGCAGACAAUCGGUUGGAAGGAGUAUGUUGGAGCUUUGGUUGAAAGGUUUGGCACUGACUUUGAUGAUCCUAUGGAGGAAAUUAAAAAGAUCAGACAGAUGGGAAGCGUAAGAGAGUAUCAAGCAGCUUUUGAGAGAAGUUUGACAAGGGUAAAUCUUUCAGAAGAGAAUGUUAUCAGCUAUUAUAUUGGGGGUUUAAAACCUGAGUUAAACAUAGCUGUGAAGAUCACUAAUCCUUCCUCACUUUCCCAAGUGUACAAAAAUGCAAGAAUGCAAGAAGCAUAUCAAAAUGCUAUGACACAACCAGCAAUUGUGCAGUCUCAGAUGAAUGCAAGGAGGAUUGCAGAUCAGAGAAAUAGCAACAACAAUCUUUUUUUCCUACACCUAGUAACUAUAAUUCCAAUUUUUCUAAGGGAAUGAACAGAAGGACCUUGAGCAUAGAAGAGCUAAAUGAAAAAAAGGCAAAGGGAUUGUUGCUACUUCUACAAUGAGACGUAUAUACCUGGCCAUAAAUGCAGAACCUCCAAGCAAUUAUAUUUGUUGGAAAUAGAUGAAACGAAAGAAAUGGAGACAUUAGUUGAAGAACACAAUAGAGAAGUACAAGAGGAACAUGUUGAUCCACUGGAAUUGGUACAACCUGUAGAACACAUGGAGAUUUCUAUGCAUGCCUUGAAUGGAUCUUUAGGAUUUAGAACCUUGAAGGUGAUUGGUUAUCACUCUAAAAUGGGAUUGCAUAUACUAAUUGAUACUGGGAGCUCUCACAACUUUAUAGAUCCUGAACUAGUUAGAAAAUUGGGAUGUGAAGUAAGAUGUAUUAAUCCUGAGGUAGUGGCUGCUGCAAAUGGAAGUAUGAAAGUGGAUCAAAUGACUACUAUCACUUGGUUGUUGCAAGGUGCUGAAUUCUGUGCGGAUUUCUUAUUGUUACCUUUGGGAUAUUGUGGAGUUGUAUUUAGAUUUCAAUGGUUGUUGACUCUAGGUGAUAUCAAGUUGAAUUUUAGAAACUUAACAAUGGAAUUCUGGCACAAAGGGAGAAAACAUCUACUUAGAGGGUCCGACAGUCAAGUGUUAACUCCUAGCGCUGGAAAAUUGGCAAAGCAAACAGGAAUACAAUCUCAAUUGUGUAUAAUUCAGGUGAUCCCUCAAGGAAGUGAUGAAGUAAAGUGGCAUCCAUCAAAAUCUGAUAAUGAUCAGAAGGAAGAUCCUACAAUAUUAGAGGUAUUAUCAAAAUUUGCUAUAUUAUUUGAAGAACCUGGUAGUCUAUCGCCCUCUAGAGGUAUAUUCGAUCAUAGAAUUGUAUUGUAAUCUGGUAUUGAGCCUGUGAAUAAGAGACCUUACAGGUAUCCUUUGGUUAAGAAGGAUAUCAUUGAAAACAUGGUUCAGCAAAUGAUAAACCAAGGGAUCAUUCAACCUAGUUGUUGUCCCUUUGCCUCACCUGUGGUGUUAGUAGGAAAAAAACAUGGUACACGGAGACUAUGUGUAGAUUAGAGACUUGAAUAAGUUGUCACACCCCUUUUUAACUCCAAAUAGAUAAAUUUUAUUUUUCAAAAGGGUUUUUAUUAUUAAGUGAAAAAAUGAAGAUUUAUUUCAAAAAGGACCUUUCAUAUUCAAAACAGAGUCGCCACUUGGCAUAAUCCGAUGUGCCAAGUCACCUUUGAAAAUCCUUUUCAAAAUGAUUUUGACUCUAAGACUGAUCCGCGAACAGAGAUUCCGGCUAAGGAAUUCUGUUGACCGAAGGAAAGGUGUUAGGCACCCCUCAAUCCCGUGGUUUGACCACGGUCGCUUGGUGGAACAUAUCAGCUAAUUUGACACUACGAAUGUACAAACCACACAAAAAAACGUAAAACAAUCAAACAAAACAAAACGAAUCAAAAAUAUAGUAUCCAGUCUAACUAUACAGUCCCGAAUAAUGAAAAAUGCAAAAAUAUAAACCCAUUCUAUUCCAAACUAUCCCUAAAAUACUCCUGAAUUAAGCUUCACCCGACGUUCCGGGCCUUGACCGUGCGCCGUCUUCAAGUACAUGAUACUUCGGGACAUUCACUGACAAAUGAACACAAAUACCUUGGGGCAUUCUCUGGCCAAAUGAAUACAUCUGAGAUAACUAGAAAAACGUUCAAAACAUACAUCUAAACAUUCAACGCAUUCAAUCAACACAUCACUCCCAAAUUUUGCCUACCCGAACCUAAACAUUUUCCUAUCCCAUUCGACCUAUCAUGACACUAUACAAUUCACAAGCUUGAAAUUAAUUCCGCAUUAAACAACAAGACCAACAUUAAUCCAAAUUGACCCUUUUCAUCAAUCUCAAAAUUCCACCCCAAAUUCCCACAAUUCGCAAUCACCAGUACAACUAUCCUUAAUCAAUUUUUUAUUCACGAAAUUAAACAACAACUCAACAUCACUCAAAUUUCUUCAUCAAAAGCAUAAACAUCGACAAAAUCAAACAAUCAUGAUCAACAAGCACCUAAUCACAUUCACAGCCAAUUCAUUCAACCAACCAAAUAAAGAAAAGGAGAUGGGUUAAAAAAAUGGACCUCGAUAUAAUAUUUUAUCGAUAAUAAAGAAAUCCAAGACCGAAACCUUUAAAUGGGAACCCCAACAACAAAACAAAACUAACUCGAAUUGGGAGAAAUCCAAACCCGAAACUGAAAUUGAACUUAAAUUUCAAAACCAGUACCGAGCUCGAUGAACCAAAACGAAAAUUGCAAUAAGAGAGUCAAUGAGUUCGAAAAUCCGAUAAACCCAUCGGAACACUAACAGGAACAACGGCUGGGUGUUUUCCGGUGGAGUUUGAACUGAAAAACAAGGACCCUUUGCUACACCUGAGCUCCGGUAAGUUCGGCAGCAACUAGAAACAGAGAUAUGAUCUGUAGCGAAAGCAUUUUCGGUGAAAAACUCAGACUAAAUUUCUCUCUCGCACGUUUCUUCUCUGCUUUUAACUUUCAACCUUAAAUCUCACUCUCUCCAGUUCGAUCCCCUCUUUCUCUCUAUUUUUCUCUCGACCUUGCUUCACCCUCACCUCAUUUUCAUGUAAUCGCCUAUAUCUAUGGGUGUAUUUGAGAGAUGUACGCCUAUGGCAUAUUCUAUGUGUAUCUUGGUGUUGAUGGAUUGGUUCUUUUUUCUUAUCUGUGAGUAUGAGGGUCUUUAUGUACUCUGAGAGGAAAUGGUCAGGCUUCUGUGUGUGUAUAUUGUAUUCUGUGAUGGCAUUGAAGAAAAGAAAAAUUCUCCACUCUGUUGUGCGUACUCCCCCUUGGAGAAGAUGAACUUUCUCUUUCUGCCCCCUUCUCCGUGGGUCCCCCUUUUCCCCUUCUUAUUUUAUAUUCUGUUAUGGACCCCAAAAAGGAAAAAUAGAGAUUUUAUUAAGGGUUGUUAUUUUUGUAUUUUUGUGAAAUAUAAUUAUACGGAUGAGGACACAUAGUAAUACGAAGGUGAAAUGGUAAAAAUACUAUCGGGGAGAGACAAAAUUAGGUGUCUACAUAAGUUUGUGAAAAACAAAUUUUCAAUCCCUAUUGUAAAAGAC